RNAcentral lists this unclassified non-coding RNA (539 nucleotides) under Hevea brasiliensis (rubber tree). The record is from RNAcentral. Lineage: Eukaryota; Viridiplantae; Streptophyta; Magnoliopsida; Malpighiales; Euphorbiaceae.
CCUCCCCAGCCUCAAGAGAAUCCUAAAUCAAGAUAAAAGCCCAAUUUUUGUUAUGAUCUUCAGCUACAUAUUGGGGUAAUUCUUCAACCAAGGACAUUCAACAUCUUGGAUACACCUUGGUCUGGGUUAGUUCUAGCUGCCUUCAAACCAGAAUAUUGAUGGUCAGUUUGGCUUUUGCAUAGUUGACUGAAACCAAACCCAUUAUUGGGAACCGACCCGACCCGACCCGACCCGACAAGACGAGAAUUUAGAUCAGGAUUGGGUCAAUUCUUUCAAGAUACUAUAAAGGCUCCAAUCCAUGGGAACCCAUAAAAAAUGUUAGAUAUUACUAUUUUAAGAUUUUAAAUGGAUGAAAUCAUAUAAAAUAAUUGAAUUAUUUGAAUUUGUAUGCAAAAGCACCCCUAUUAUAUGCUCAUGUUGGAUGGUUUUUGUUUAACUCCAGGAUUACAUCCAAAUUAAUAACAACAUGAAAGUACAGAAGCAAAACACUGCAGAUGAAUUUAGAAAAUCACCAACCUCAGACUCCAGGGCUUCAAGCA